AACGAACGCUGGCGGCAGGCCUAACACAUGCAAGUCGAACGCCGUAGCAAUACGGAGUGGCAGACGGGUGCGUAACACGUGGGAACAUACCCUUUGGUUCGGAAUAACUCAGGGAAACUUGAGCUAAUACCGGAUAAGCCCUUACGGGGAAAGAUUUAUCGCCAAAGGAUUGGCCCGCGUCUGAUUAGCUAGUUGGUGAGGUAACGGCUCACCAAGGCGACGAUCAGUAGCUGGUCUGAGAGGAUGAUCAGCCACACUGGGACUGAGACACGGCCCAGACUCCUACGGGAGGCAGCAGUGGGGAAUAUUGGACAAUGGGCGCAAGCCUGAUCCAGCCAUGCCGCGUGAGUGAUGAAGGCCUUAGGGUUGUAAAGCUCUUUUACCCGGGAAGAUAAUGACGGUACCGGGAGAA
RNAcentral lists this ribosomal RNA (412 nucleotides) under uncultured bacterium. RNAcentral describes it as "bacterial SSU rRNA". It matches the Rfam family "Bacterial small subunit ribosomal RNA", at positions 29 to 486 of the family's 1533-position model. The record is from RNAcentral.